RNAcentral lists this ribosomal RNA (638 nucleotides) under uncultured Microsporidium. RNAcentral describes it as "bacterial SSU rRNA". It matches the Rfam family "Microsporidia small subunit ribosomal RNA", at positions 19 to 661 of the family's 1311-position model. Lineage: Eukaryota; Fungi; Microsporidia. The record is from RNAcentral.
UGACGUGGACGCUUGCCUCAAGGAUUAAGCCAUGCAAGCUAGCGAAGGUAACGGAGCGGCGAACGGCUCAGUAGGACAGGGCUAUCUGACCACGGCAGAGGAUAACCACGGUAAGCUGUGGCUAAUACGAGCGUGGGUGAGGCCCUGGCCUAUCAUGCUAGGCGGUACGGUAAGGGCGUACCGUGGCGACGACGGGUAGCGGGGAAUCGGGGUUUGAUUCCGGAGAGGGAGCCUGAGAGAUGGCUGCCACGUCCAAGGACGGCAGCAGGCGCGGAACUUACCCACUUGGAGGACCAGAGGUAGUGACGAGGCGUGAUCGAUGAGGACAGGGUAAAGCACUGUCCGAAGGCGACUGGAGGGCAAGUCUGGUGCCAGCAGCCGCGGUAAUUCCAGCUCCAGGAGCGUCUGUGUGUGUUGCUGCGGUUAAAGCGUGCGCAGUCGGGCUGUUAGCCAACAGGAAAGGUGCGGUCUCAUGCCGUGCAGUUUGUUGGAACGUAGGCCUAGGGACCGGAGCGGGGCAAUGGUAUUUGGCAGCGAGGGGUGAAAACCGAUGACCUGCUGAGGAGCGACAGAGGCGCAGGCGGUUGUCCGGGACGGGUCCGACGAUCAAGCGCGUGAGCGGGAGGAUCGAAGGCGAU